UGCAAGCAGGGCUUCCUGCUUUAAAAUGCAGCUGAAAGCAUUAUUACACUAUAAAAGAGUUGUUGUGUUGGUCAGUCUGAGGAAGGGCUUAGCUUGGCCCCGGCAGAGGAAGGAGGUGCAUGUUAAGAGAUAUUGUCUGACUGUAAAUCAUGGGUUGCAAAAAGAGCUUGCCAAGAUCAAGAUGUGACCUCCUGAUGAUUCGUCAACUAAUCAGCACUUGGAUGUUAUUAAGCAGAUCUCUUCAGAGAGAAGGUUUUCAAAUGAAUAGACAAUAGACAAUAGACAUAACUGGCAUAGUGAUUGCACUGAGGACAGUCCCUUCGAGAAGAUUCCUUGUCACAUGGGUAUCGGUUUUCUUAACCAACUGUAAUCAGGAGAGUUUAGAUGCUGAGAAAUUUAAUCUGACUGCUCACCUUGGACUUCUUGCCUAUCCGACAGGUCACGUGGGGGCUGUUUUGUAAUGAAAAUUCCUGUGUUGAAAUACAUGGCUUAGAAGAUCAGGGGCUGGAAGUCAGGUUCCUGGGAUAAUGCAGAAGGCGGAAGGCCGGCUGCCCACUCUCCAUGGGCUGCUGAGAGGAGAUCGCUAACACACCCAAUGAUGGGAGAAGGCUAAAAAUCAUGGAUUCUGUCACUAAUUCAGGCAAGUAAAGAUUGCACAUAGUUUACAGCUCUCGAGAAUCGACUGGUGAAAUCCCUGGGGAAAAAUGUUCCUUAUCCUCCUGCCGAGAGGACUAUAAAAUGGAAAGAGAGAGACUCUAAUGUAAAGAGCCAUAAAAGGUAUAAUUGUUGGAGGAAAACAACGUCUUCUUGCCAGGUUGAGAGUUUCUGCACAGCCAAUCGUAGUGGCUGCAGGUGACAUAAGGAGCGAAGGCAGGACCUUGAGGCAUUAGCGGUAGAUGAUCACACUCAGUGUGAACGCCGAGAAGAUCAGCAGCUGUGGUGGGAAAGAGACCCCCCCCCCGACAAAUUCACUGGGCACUGCCCUGUACGUGGGGACCCUACGGUCAUACGGGGUGGAGUCAUCAAGUCAGAUAGAAUUCUGACAGUGCUCCCCAAGAUGGUGUCCUACCCUCCCAGAUGCCUACUCAAACUGGGGUGUGUUGGUUAAACUAGGAUGAUGUAUUCAUUCCAGCACAGGUAAUCAGGACCCUGACCUCACACAGGAGGCGUGGAGGGGAGAAGACCCUGCCCCUGCUCUCAGGGAGCUCACAGUCUGCUGAGCUCCUAAUAACCGUAUUCCAAUGGGAUGCUAAACAUACAGCUUCCAAGUGCCGAAUUAGCCGAUCGGAUGCUAAAAUAGCGAUCAGCCGUUGUGGGCACGUGGCAGUGCUCCCACCACUCAUCCCAUCUCUUUCCUCGCUUUGUCCUCUGCUCCUAUGGAUGUCGCUUUGCAGGGCUUGGAUCAGCUUCCCUCUUGCUACUGUCACUGUCACCGGGCUGAGUUACCCCUUUCAGGACCCAUUUUAGGGCACACAGUCCCUGCACCUCCACACCACGCCGGGCCUCUCCAGCAACAACCGAGGCCCAGCCAGAGACAAUAUGGAUCCUGCUGCCCAUGGAACUGGCAGUCACAGGGUCCUGCUAGUCUUGGGGGAGUCCCCCCAGCGUUAGCAAGCCUUCCGUCCUCCACUCUUGAAAGGAGAAGGAUUUCUCAGACAAACGCUACUGCCCGCAUGGACCGGGGAAGGACUAGGAAAGUUACAUGAGUGUUGCCCACCAGGAUGUUUUGCUCUCCAUGCAGAAUAUGAAUGGGGGAAAAAGGAUUUGGUUGUGCCUCAGUGGGGUGAGCACUGUUCGUCUGGGGAUGGGCCUCCCUGGGCUCCAUUUUCCACAAACCGUCAUGGCCACCGAAACGUCAGGUUUGGAAUUAUAAGAGGCGGCCCACUUUCUUCUGGGAGGACAAGGGUGGGAUGCCUUUCACAACUCGCUGAUGGUGUAUCUUAUUUCAGGAGGCCCACACUUGUCUCUUCUGAUAAAUAUAAAAUAAAAUAAAAUAAAAUAAAAUAAAAUAAAAUAGUAAAACAAAAUGAUUAAUGAUAUAAAACAGAAGUCCUGUCACUGGCAGGUGGCCCAGUCUUAUUUUAAAUUGUGGCCUCUUUUUCUCUAGGGUGGGUUGUGGGUCAUGACAGAACUGCAGAAUUAAUUUCUUCUAGCACUCUCAUUGUAAGGAUGAGGACGUUGAGACACAGAGAGACCAGCUAGCAUGCCCAAGGUCACCUGGUGGGUGGCCAAGCUGGGAGCAGCAUCCAAGCCUCCUGCCUCCAGCCCAGAAAUGUUUUCACCACACUGCAACUCCAAGACUUACUUUUUUCUCAAGAUUUUGGUUUUAAUUUGUUUUUCUCCCAAGCCCAGGACUAGCGAUAGUUUUCUCCUCCAGCUUUCCUGUUAACUGAAGUCCAACUAGUUGAUUCUGCAUUCAAACCAAGUCUCAUAUUUGCCCCUACAGACGAGGCACUGUUCAAGAGCUUAGGAAAAUUAAGAGCAAAUAAGAAGGAAGCCUUCAUCCUCCAGACACACAAGUUCUAGGAGGAGAGAAGAUUAUUAAAAAAUGCACACAAACAUGGUGCCAUGUCCUAAGGAGAAAGCUGGUAUCUGUUCAGAUUGUUAAAUGCAAGGACAGGACAGUUUUGCCGAGAAAGGAGGGAUAGGAAAGUGAGGCGGGUGGCAAGCCAUGCCAGGUUUUCAUCUAACUUUCUUCCAUAUAUGAAGAAAAAGCUCUGUUUGGAAACUCACCUUGUCAUCAAGAAUUAUCAACACCCUGAGUCUCCAUGUUGGUGGGAAAGGCUCUGGCUGUCACAGGAAUUGAGUGUGGAUAUUUUACAAUGGCAGCUUGAAGAAAGCCUUUCUGUUCUCCAUGCGGUCGCCAUAUUGGGGCCUGAACGAGAGACCGAUAUUGCUUGUAAGUUGAUCUUGCUCCUUGAGGUCACUCUUCAUAAAUUCUCCCAGAGUCCAGGGCCUCCUCUUAAAUAUACGAGGUGUCUAUCAAGGCAGCACAGACAACGUUAUUUGAAGGUACGUGGUGGGACAGAAUAAAAAGUUCCAUGUGAGAUGAGAUUAACUAGAACAUUUAUCCAAUGGAAUACUCAGGCUUCAUAUAGUAUUAUAACACAUACGGCCCUGGGUUGAAAACUAAAUAUGAUGUUCCCAGUUUGAAUUAAACACUUUUUCCUCUUUGUUCCCAUAGUAUUUGUGCAUAGUUCUUUUGCUCAGUAAUAAUUCACCUAAGGUGCCGGGUAAUGUGGCAGAUAUUGAGGGUAUAGCGAUUUAAUGACAUGGUCCUCUCGUUAGUAUUGAACACAACAUUUUAUUUUAUUUUAUUUCUUUAAUGUUUAUUAUUUUUGAGACACAGAGAGACAGAGCAUGAGCGGG
This is a long non-coding RNA of Herpailurus yagouaroundi (jaguarundi), 3369 nucleotides long. RefSeq lists it as uncharacterized. The record is from RefSeq and is a predicted model, not a curated record. Lineage: Eukaryota; Metazoa; Chordata; Mammalia; Carnivora; Felidae. The transcript is spliced from 3 exons.